ACGUCCCAGUUCGGAUUGUAGUCUGCAACCCGACUACAUGAAGCUGGAAUCGCUAGUAAUCGCGGAUCAGAAUGCCGCGGUGAAUACGUUCCCGGGUCUUGUACACACCGCCCGUCACACCAUGGAGUCGGAAAUGCCCGAAGUCUGUGACCCAACCUUAGGGAGGGAGCAGCCGAGGCAGGUCGGAUGACUGGGGUGAAGUCGUAACAAGGUACC
This 216-nucleotide ribosomal RNA is filed under the name uncultured bacterium. RNAcentral's name for it is "partial 16S ribosomal RNA". It matches the Rfam family "Bacterial small subunit ribosomal RNA", at positions 1283 to 1500 of the family's 1533-position model. The record is from RNAcentral.